RNAcentral lists this transfer RNA (74 nucleotides) under Omnitrophica bacterium RIFCSPHIGHO2_02_FULL_63_14. Its description in RNAcentral is "tRNA-Val". It matches the Rfam family "tRNA". Rfam says of the family: Transfer RNA (tRNA) molecules are approximately 80 nucleotides in length. Their secondary structure includes four short double-helical elements and three loops (D, anti-codon, and T loops). Lineage: Bacteria; Pseudomonadati; Candidatus Omnitrophota. The record is from RNAcentral.
GGGCAGUUAGCUCAGCCGGUUAGAGCGUCUGAUUUACAUUCAGAAGGUCGGAGGUUCGAUUCCUCCACUGCCCA